AAAACCCACGAAAAAAGGGGAUAUGGAGAAAGCUGUUCCGGCGGUUCGGAGGUGACGCCGGAGACGCGCCAGAAAUGGCGGAAGGCCACCACAACAGAAGGAAGAUCGUGGAACAGGUCUUGCAACGUUCCAAAAACCCUUUCAAACUCAAAGGCACAAACUUGAAACAGAAAGCGAGUGGAGAAACAGAUUGCCGGAAAAAUCGGAGGAGAUCUCGCGGUGUCCGUCGAUCUGCAACGACUCUG
This 245-nucleotide long non-coding RNA is filed under the name Phaseolus vulgaris (common bean). RNAcentral describes it as "long non-coding RNA (PVUL_LNC002621)". The record is from RNAcentral. Lineage: Eukaryota; Viridiplantae; Streptophyta; Magnoliopsida; Fabales; Fabaceae.